GACGAACGCUGGCGGCGCGCUUAACACAUGCAAGUCGAACGGAAAGGCCUGCUUUCCCUUGUGGAUUGCGGGUACUCGAGUGGCGAACGGGUGAGUAACACGUGAGUGAUCUGCCCCCAACUUGGGUAUAAGCCUGGGAAACUGGGUCUAAUUCCCGAUAGGACUGCAGGGUGGUUCCUGUGGUUGAAAACGAUUUUCUAGUGGUUGGGGAUGAGCUCGCGGCCUAUCAGCUUGUUGGUGGGGUAAUGGCCUACCAAGGCGGCGACGGGUAGCCGGCCUGGGAGGGUGGGCGGCCACAUUGGAACUGAGAUACGGCCCAGACUCCUACGGGAGGCAGCAGUGGGGAAUAUUGCACGAUGGGCGGAAGCCUGAUGCAGCGACGCCGCGUGGGGGAUGACGGCCUUCGGGUUGUAAACUCCUUUCGACCGCGAGGAAGCCACCUGGUUGGAAGGGUGGUGACGGUAGUGGUAGAAGAAGCACCGGCUAACUACGUG
RNAcentral lists this ribosomal RNA (494 nucleotides) under uncultured bacterium. RNAcentral describes it as "partial 16S ribosomal RNA". It matches the Rfam family "Bacterial small subunit ribosomal RNA", at positions 28 to 507 of the family's 1533-position model. The record is from RNAcentral.